Molecule: ribosomal RNA, 775 nt
Filed under: uncultured Arthrobacter sp.
Lineage: Bacteria; Bacillati; Actinomycetota; Actinomycetes; Micrococcales; Micrococcaceae
Description: bacterial SSU rRNA
Rfam family: Bacterial small subunit ribosomal RNA
Source: RNAcentral
AGAGUUUGAUCCUGGCUCAGGAUGAACGCUGGCGGCGUGCUUAACACAUGCAAGUCGAACGAUGAUCCCAGCUUGCUGGGGGAUUAGUGGCGAACGGGUGAGUAACACGUGAGUAACCUGCCCUUAACUCUGGGAUAAGCCUGGGAAACUGGGUCUAAUACCGGAUAUGACUCCUCAUCGCAUGGUGGGGGGUGGAAAGCUUUAUUGUGGUUUUGGAUGGACUCGCGGCCUAUCAGCUUGUUGGUGAGGUAAUGGCUCACCAAGGCGACGACGGGUAGCCGGCCUGAGAGGGUGACCGGCCACACUGGGACUGAGACACGGCCCAGACUCCUACGGGAGGCAGCAGUGGGGAAUAUUGCACAAUGGGCGAAAGCCUGAUGCAGCGACGCCACGUGAGGGAUGACGGCCUUCGGGUUGUAAACCUCUUUCAGUAGGGAAGAAGCGAAAGUGACGGUACCUGCAGAAGAAGCGCCGGCUAACUACGUGCCAGCAGCCGCGGUAAUACGUAGGGCGCAAGCGUUAUCCGGAAUUAUUGGGCGUAAAGAGCUCGUAGGCGGUUUGUCGCGUCUGCCGUGAAAGUCCGGGGCUCAACUCCGGAUCUGCGGUGGGUACGGGCAGACUAGAGUGAUGUAGGGGAGACUGGAAUUCCUGGUGUAGCGGUGAAAUGCGCAGAUAUCAGGAGGAACACCGAUGGCGAAGGCAGGUCUCUGGGCAUUAACUGACGCUGAGGAGCGAAAGCAUGGGGAGCGAACAGGAUUAGAUACCCCCGUAGUCC